AAUAUUGAUCGGAAACACAACAAAUAACAGAAACUAUCCGGAAGAAAAACAGACUAAAUUUCACAUUUUCUCCCCUUUUUCACUGCCACGAGAACGACGCUCGGACAAAACACCACUACUGUCACAAGAACGACGCUUGGACAAAACUACACUACUGUCACAAGAACGACGCUUGGACAAAACACCUAACUCAUUCGUACGUCUCAUUCAUUCAAUUUCAUUCAUUUUCAUUCAUUCUCAGUCACACUAACAUUCAUAAAUUUUACUCAAUCGCACUCACUUUCAGACUGCAUACUCAUUCAUAUUCAUGACACGCAUACUACCUUAAACUAAUUAAAACUUAUAUUAUGGACGCCCUUAAUUUUAAUAUUUUUCUUUUCGACUCUUUCCGAAGAGUCGAAAAGAUACAUAAUUUUUACGAAAUGUUUCACUCAUUACGUACUUCUAUUACUCGCUCAACUUGUGAGAGAAAAUCGAUUGAAGCUACGCAGAAUGAAACCAUUUACGUUGAGAGUGUACAGUUGGCAUCUAAUCGGCGGGCAAACGUUAUCCCGCCAACUUAGAUACCACCCUGUCGUAUGUUUGUUUAUUUUCCGAUCUGUCAGUUCUGCUCGUACAUUACUGACCACUUAUAGAAAACAACGAAAAGUGAUACGAAUUUGAAUGGAUACAGGAUACAGGAUGGAUAGCAGAUAUGAAGAACUUAAUAUCUUCAAAGACGGUGGUUUGAAGAAUAUUUAUACUACUGCGAUGAUUGAAAUGACUUGCAUCGGCCCGGGAGAAAGUGGAG
This is a long non-coding RNA of Malaya genurostris, 790 nucleotides long. RefSeq lists it as uncharacterized. The record is from RefSeq and is a predicted model, not a curated record. The transcript is spliced from 3 exons. NCBI's taxonomy places the organism in Eukaryota, Metazoa, Arthropoda, Insecta, Diptera, Culicidae.